CCUACGGGAGGCAGCAGUGGGGAAUAUUGCGCAAUGGGGGCAACCCUGACGCAGCCAUGCCGCGUGAAUGAAGAAGGCCUUCGGGUUGUAAAGUUCUUUCGGUGACGAGGAAGGCGUGAUGUUUAAUAGGCAUCACGAUUGACGUUAAUCACAGAAGAAGCACCGGCUAACUCCGUGCCAGCAGCCGCGGUAAUACGGAGGGUGCGAGCGUUAAUCGGAAUAACUGGGCGUAAAGGGCACGCAGGCGGCUAUUUAAGUGAGGUGUGAAAUCCCCGGGCUUAACCUGGGAAUUGCAUUUCAGACUGGGUAGCUAGAGUACUUUAGGGAGGGGUAGAAUUCCACGUGUAGCGGUGAAAUGCGUAGAGAUGUGGAGGAAUACCGAAGGCGAAGGCAGCCCCUUGGGAAUGUACUGACGCUCAUGUGCGAAAGCGUGGGGAGCAAACAGGAUUAGAUACCCCAGUAGUC
RNAcentral lists this ribosomal RNA (465 nucleotides) under uncultured Aggregatibacter sp. RNAcentral describes it as "bacterial SSU rRNA". It matches the Rfam family "Bacterial small subunit ribosomal RNA", at positions 338 to 795 of the family's 1533-position model. The record is from RNAcentral. Lineage: Bacteria; Pseudomonadati; Pseudomonadota; Gammaproteobacteria; Pasteurellales; Pasteurellaceae.